This 252-nucleotide ribosomal RNA is filed under the name uncultured bacterium. RNAcentral's name for it is "partial 16S ribosomal RNA". It matches the Rfam family "Bacterial small subunit ribosomal RNA", at positions 524 to 776 of the family's 1533-position model. The record is from RNAcentral.
UACGUAGGUGGCGAGCGUUGUCCGGAUUUACUGGGCGCAAAGCGCGCGCAGGCGGACUGAUCAGUCUGGGGUGAAAUCUCACGGCUCAACUGUGAGCGGUCCCUGGAUACUGUCAGUCUUGAGAUGUCUAGAGGAGAGCGGAAUUCCCGGUGUAGUGGUGGAAUGCGUAGAUAUCGGGAAGAACACCAGUGGCGAAAGCGGCUCUCUGGGGACCAUCUGACGCUGAGGCGCGAAAGCGUGGGAGCGAACCGG